GGGGGGCAAGUGAAUGUGUCCGAAAAAGCUGUCCUAAAGUUCCUCGUUUCUUCCAUCGUUGACUUUUCAUCUUUGUCUGUUUUUCAGGGAUUUUGAUUGCACAACAUUGAAAUAAAACUAUAAAAUGUCAACUCCUAAAUUGUUCAGCUGCUUUCUCUCGCCCAUUUCAUUCUCUCUGUAAUUUUGCUCGGAAAAUUGGGAUUAGAGCUGUCCGUUGCUCUGAAAUCAAUACGUUCAUCUCAGCCAUGAUUUCCACUGGCAAGAUCAAGUCCAUCGAUUUUUAUAGGUCAAAUUGCUCGCAUCAUUUCAUUGUUCAUCAGCUCUGUGUGUUUGUGUGUAAUUUGAAUCUGAUCAUGGAAAAUUCAGUUUGAUUUUGCGUAAUUGCUUUCUCAUGCAUGUGGAUUGUGGAUUGUGAAUUGUGAUGGAUAAGUGAAUGAAUGUUUGAGUUUAUCAAUGAAAUUGGAGUGAUUAUAAAUAGGAUUCAGAAUUUAAAUUAAUAUUAACAUUAUGUUUGGACGAUGGAAUUAAACUUGGAAUUUUGACAAAGGUCAGAGUUAUCAAUUGACAGGCAACAAUUCUCUUGUUUGGAUUCAUAAACAUAAAAAUUUAGAAUUUCCAUGUGGAAAAAAAAAACUUGCAAUUUAGGAACUCCAAUUUUCAAGUUUAAAUUCCAUGUAAAUAUGUAUCAUUUCUAAAUUUCUAUGAGUGAGAAUUUAAAAAUAAAAAAUUUCGUAUUGAACUUCCAUUGUACUUUUAAGUUUGCCAAACAAGAAAAUUCAUAAAUUCUAGAAGAUAAAAUUUCGUCAUUUUAAAAUUUCUUUGUAAGUUUAAAUUUUCUCGUCCAAACAAAUAGAAAAGAUUGGUGAUUUGAAUAGUUUGGUUGCUUCCACGCCAUUGAAAGAUUCAAUUCAUCACCACUAAAGCAUUACUAGAUUGUUUGGAGGUGCUUAGUGGAAGCUUUCAUAGCAAAUGAUUCUAGGGUUUUAGCUGCUUGCUGUAUGAUGUUUAUGGUACACAUCUAAGGAGCUAAAUUAUAUGCAAAAAUGUAAAAUUUCAUAUCUUCUCAAACUUUCCCUGCGAAUAGGAGUAGGAAGAAAAAUUUAACCAACACCACCUGGACUAUUAGAGCAACUCCACCAUUGCAAAGACCCCCUAGGGCAAGUC
RNAcentral lists this long non-coding RNA (1164 nucleotides) under Malus domestica (apple). RNAcentral's name for it is "long non-coding RNA (MDOM_LNC010797)". Lineage: Eukaryota; Viridiplantae; Streptophyta; Magnoliopsida; Rosales; Rosaceae. The record is from RNAcentral.